Aegilops tauschii subsp. strangulata is the source of this 2535-nucleotide RNA transcript. RefSeq lists it as uncharacterized. NCBI's taxonomy places the organism in Eukaryota, Viridiplantae, Streptophyta, Magnoliopsida, Poales, Poaceae. The record is from RefSeq and is a predicted model, not a curated record.
CCCUAAGCCAUUCAUUUCGCUAGGUCGCACGUCUCCCCCUUUCGCGUGGUGGCUCUUCCCAUGGCGGUCAACCUCUGUCGCGCUCAUCCCCAUUCAUGUACACUGAUGGGAUCCUGCUUCCCACUGCGCAAGGGCGCCGGUACGGUAGCCUCCCACAACCUGGCUUAGAUUUCGGACGGCACCACAACUUCGGCUGGGGGCCUCAAGCAUCGGCGGUGACAACGGGGCAGCGAACCAUCGCUUGUCGGUUGGAUUCCACUUGCCGGUGAUUGAGGAAAUAAAUCGCCAUGCCACUCUUCAGCGGCUACUACUUGCAGGUGAUCUAGGUUGACUGACUCAUGUGUGCUUCCAAGCUAGGAUUAGCAGUUCCAGUAUAAUUUUUGCCUUUGGAUUGAUAAAUCGGAGAACAUCUUUGAUGCUCCUUUGAUAGAAUAUAAUGAGAACAACAUGAUAUGUAAGGCAUGUACUACAUGGAUCUUGAUUCGGAAUUCAGCAAAACAACUCUAUUGAGUACCUGCAAUAAAAUAGUAAAUUGUUGUUCAUGAUCCUACAGUUUCUGAAGUCAAAAGUAGCAGUGUUUCAUCUAAUUGUAUCCUUCAAAGCUAAUAGAGUCCUUCAUAAUCUUUUUUGGGUGUGGUCUCUAUUAGUCACUAUGUAUUCGCUGAGAUUCUUUCAUUUUGUUGAAGCUGUAUGUGCAUCUGCUUUUGUCCGUGCCAUGGUAGGCGGCGCUGGAUCAUCUAUGUUGAGGAUGGCUUCACCGACUUGUGCAUCGUCUGAGCUCUGUUUCCCUUUCCUAGGGUUUAACAAAAUCGCAUUUGUUAUUCGUCAAGAGGAGGCCCACAUGCAGCAAGGUAUGGCAAUGCAAAAUCAAUGCAUGGCUUGUUCGGGACAUUACAGUUCGAAGGACAUGCAAAUGUUUGAUUCUCCAUGUACAGUGUCAAUCAACUGUUGAUUGCAGGAGCAAGGUGUACGAAAAAAAAUUGGAACCAAGAUACUCAUCUGGAGUUUAGUGUUUUAUUGCAUCAACAUAACAAUUCGCUGUCUUAUUGCAGGGAUACUGGCUACUUCCCCUUUCUUCCUCUGCCAUCUUCCCAGCAACCAUGGUUCCCAUACCACUGCUCAUUGCAAGGUUCCGUCUGCCUUCCCUCUCACUCUCACAGGAACGCUCACUGGCAGCACACAGGCCUUUCCUGACAGUGCCAUGGCACCUCUCUGUAGGUGAGCGACACUGCCAUUUCCUUCCAAGUGUGCCAUAUUUUCUUUUUUAAGUUAUUACAUGCUGAUUUACAGGUUGGUUUAGUCUAUUGUAUCAUGCCUCUAAUUCUGCUCCAUGCUCAAGUCAACAUGACACUUCUUCCCCCAAAUUUUUUCUCGAAUUAUUCUAUGUUAGUUCGGUUUGUCCUAUCAGGCCGAAUGAGCUGUCCACAUCUCCAUGUACAAAGGGUUAGUAUACAUCUACAUAAUCAGAUGCUGGAGGAAAUGUAGCAUAAUAUAUCUAAUCAUAUUAUAUGCUUUACUUACAAUGGUGCCUGCUCAGUGUAGCCAUUUACUCAUGAAAUGUAACGUUUCUUUUUACAGAAAAUAGACAAGAUGGGGACAACAAAUUUUCUUUCUCCCAAUUCUGGCACCCCCAUCAAUUGCUUAAUUUUUCAUUACAAUUUUAAUGUCAAUAUUUUUCCUUAAGAAAUUUUGCUAACCGUGGCUUCAUUGCUAAUCAGUUUAUGGUUCAUGUACUUGCCCAAAACAUAAUGUUUAGUUGUAGUUGAGCAAACACAACUAGAUCGUGUUAAUGCAUAAGUGAAAUCAACAGUCUUGAGGAACCUAAAAUCUAAGGUAUAUAUGCACUGCGAUAUGUUUUACUAUCCUCCUGUUAAAUUCCAAGGUCUUUAUCUUGAGGAUCAUUGUAUAUUGGUAUUUUGUUGCUCUUUCACUAGAAGAUGAUGCCAACUUGUUUUCUAAUUUGUAUAUGAUAAAACUGCAACAUGUCAUAAAAAGCAGGUUUGGAAGAAUGGUAUUUUUUAAAGCAAGUUUGGAAGAAUGGUAUUUAUCUAAAUUACGGACAACAAAUGCCAGAAUGGAAUAAAAAGUAAAUAUUCAUUAACACUUGAACACAUUUGUUGGAAUAUAGUGGUUGCUGUAUGAUCUUGAAGCAUGUAUUGCAUUGUAACAAUACAAGGCACGUGCUACUGUUUGACAUGUGAUCUUACAUUGGUAUUAUUAUCCCUGAUUUUCUUUUAGCGACUACUAUAUGAUCUUUGAAGUAUCUAAUCCAACGUUUAUGGAGCAUCAAGUGGCUGGGUUGAGAAGAGAAGUUAUUUGUUGGACCUACAAGGCGCAGAAAUCUAGCUGGCAACAGAAUUAUUUAUAUUUACGAAUGCAGUAAUAUGCAAUACAUAGUGUGUUUUUUAGAAUUACUUAUGUGUCAUGUUGGAAACAAUGUUGCUGGUGCCUUUACGUGUUACUACUGCUUUAUUGUUCAUGUAUAAUGCCUUCACAUAUUUGUGCCAAGCUAACAUUCAAUAUAUAUUACAAACA